Molecule: small RNA, 101 nt
Filed under: Olea europaea subsp. europaea
Lineage: Eukaryota; Viridiplantae; Streptophyta; Magnoliopsida; Lamiales; Oleaceae
Source: RNAcentral
UAGAGAGUUUAUGCGCCGGUGUGGAUUUGUGAUUAUCCAUGCAUGUGUUUAUGUAUGUACACAACAACAAAAGUGUUCAAUAAAUUGUCUGUACAUGUAAA